GACGAACGCUGGCGGCGUGCUUAACACAUGCAAGUCGAACGGAAAGGUCCUGCUUUUGUGGGGUGCUCGAGUGGCGAACGGGUGAGUAACACGUGAGUAACCUGCCCUUGACUUUGGGAUAACUUCAGGAAACUGGGGCUAAUACCGGAUAGGAGCUCCUGCUGCUUGGUGGGGGCUGGAAAGUUUCGGCGGUUGGGGAUGGACUCGCGGCUUAUCAGCUUGUUGGUGGGGUAGUGGCUUACCAAGGCUUUGACGGGUAGCCGGCCUGAGAGGGUGACCGGCCACAUUGGGACUGAGAUACGGCCCAGACUCCUACGGGAGGCAGCAGUGGGGAAUAUUGCACAAUGGGCGGAAGCCUGAUGCAGCAACGCCGCGUGCGGGAUGACGGCCUUCGGGUUGUAAACCGCUUUCGCCUGUGACGAAGCGUGAGUGACGGUAAUGGGUAAAGAAGCACCGGCUAACUACGUG
This 468-nucleotide ribosomal RNA is filed under the name uncultured bacterium. Its description in RNAcentral is "partial 16S ribosomal RNA". It matches the Rfam family "Bacterial small subunit ribosomal RNA", at positions 28 to 507 of the family's 1533-position model. The record is from RNAcentral.